AUAAUUAAUAAAUAAUAAUAGUUUUUGUUUACAUUCACAAAUCCAAUAUCUACUACCACCGUUUGCAAGAAUGUUAUCAACCCAAGCUGGGGUUAGUUUGUUUAUUUUUCAUUCGUUUUUGGAGUAAUGUUUUGACUCCUUGGCUCUAAAAUUAAGCCACAAAAAAAAAAAAGCUACCAUUCCAUAAAGAAACCUACUCCACAAUUCCACGGCUCGCAAUACUCCCACAAACACUGGGGCUCUCCUCCUACUGUGCUCUUGCUGCAGUGCAGACUGCUGCCACCUGCCCUCAAAGAAGAAAUAUUACAGUUCACGUUUGGAAGACAUCUCACCACACUAUGGAUUUAAUCCUGGUUAAGUAUGUUGCCUGUGGCACCCUUAAACACGUGAGUGGCUUAUCAAUUUUCCCCUACUCACCUUCCAUCAUUCCAUUAAUUAUUUCUUCUAAUUUAUAUCCCUCUCUCUUUUUUUGCAGUUGCAAUUUACUGACGUCAUGUCUCACAUGCAUGCCUAACAUUGGACCUGGAUGUGGAUGAGGAGGAAGCAAAUAGAAAAACACAUGAGGUUUUUUCAGCACUUCAUAGUUUUUUGACAUCGAAAUAAUUUCUUCUAUGCCAUUGUCAGUGUAUCACCUCCACACUUCCCAGAGCUACAAAUCUAAACUCAUGCUCUAUCUUGGCCCUGGUAUUUUGAUUCCAUUCUGACCACCAGGGAUCUGAAUGCUGCUCAGCUCCAUGCAAGAUAACAUAUUUAUCAGCAUAUGACACGCACAUUUAACUCCUGAAAAGCUUUCUGUUAAAGACGGAAGAAAGAGUGAAGAUAAUGUUGAAGAUAAAGUUCUUAAAGGGUCCCAGUAGGUUGCAGUUUGCGCAGUCCUCCUUGAUAUAUCAAUCCCCCUUCAAAUCACAGUGUCCCUUUCACAGUCACGUUCUAAAGGUAUGAGGUGUCAUUUUUGUACGAAUUUUUAAAUUGAACUUUUAGGUGUAUUACAUGAAAAUGCCUAUGUGUAAAUAGGGUACAUGAUGAUGAUGAUAAUGGAGUUAGUGCUGUGUCCUGUUUCUUCCCAGAUCAUGCACUUACCCUGAGGAGGAGCAAUGGUCCUGCCAGAAGCCGAUGCUGGAGGGUCUUGAAUGCAGCUUUCUGUUAAAGACGGAAGAAAGAGUGAAGAGUCAAGCUCUAUGAUUUUGACCCCUGCUGCUGAAUCCAGGGACAUCCUCUGCCAGAAGGACAUCUCUUAGCUCCGCCUCCCACUCUCGCAACUUGAUAGGCUUUCCUCGGUUUUGUCCUAGUCGAAGCCUCUGCAUCUUCUUUGUAACCGUUGCCCGACAAUCAUAGAACCUGCAAAUGUACAUAAACAUUACAAUUACAUUAAUAAAAAAACAAAUACUUAGAUUAAUGUUUUUUGAAAACCACAUUUCUUUUCACAUUGUGAUGGUUAUAUGUAUACUGUUCAGCAUGUGGCUGUGACAAAUAAAUUUUUUGGUUACGUUGAACUGUUA
Molecule: long non-coding RNA, 1499 nt
Organism: Rana temporaria (common frog)
Lineage: Eukaryota; Metazoa; Chordata; Amphibia; Anura; Ranidae
Exons: 5
Source: RefSeq, a predicted model, not a curated record